Non-coding RNA from Acanthosepion pharaonis, 97 nucleotides. Lineage: Eukaryota; Metazoa; Mollusca; Cephalopoda; Sepiida; Sepiidae. The record is from the annotation of a GenBank genome assembly.
UUAAAAUACCGGUUCUCGUACAAUCACCGAAGUUAUGCAACAUCGUGCCUGCUCACAACUUAGAUGGGUUACCGCUUGGGAAUACGAGGUGUUGUAA